This 253-nucleotide ribosomal RNA is filed under the name uncultured bacterium. Its description in RNAcentral is "partial 16S ribosomal RNA". It matches the Rfam family "Bacterial small subunit ribosomal RNA", at positions 524 to 776 of the family's 1533-position model. The record is from RNAcentral.
UACAGAGGGUGCGAACGUUGUUCGGAAUCACUGGGCAUAAAGCGCUCGUAGGCGGCACCGCAAGUGUGGGGUGAAAUCCCACGGCUUACCCGUGGAACUGCCUGGCAGACUGCGGUGCUAGAGGAUGGUAGGGGAGAGCGGAACUCUUGGUGGAGCGGUGAAAUGCGUAGAUAUCAAGAGGAACACCGGUGGCGAAGGCAAUCCCCUGGACCUGUACUGACGCUCAUGCACGAAAGCGUGGGGAGCAAACAGG